GACGAACGCUGGCGGCGUGCCUAAUACAUGCAAGUUGAGCGCUGAAGGUUGGUACUUGUACCAACUGGAUGAGCAGCGAACGGGUGAGUAACGCGUGGGGAAUCUGCCUUUGAGCGGGGGACAACAUUUGGAAACGAAUGCUAAUACCGCAUAAAAACUUUAAACACAAGUUUUAAGUUUGAAAGAUGGAAUUGCAUCACUCAAAGAUGAUCCCGCGUUGUAUUAGCUAGUUGGUGAGGUAAAGGCUCACCAAGGCGAUGAUACAUAGCCGACCUGAGAGGGGGGGUGGACAAACGGGGAAGGAAACACGGCGGAGGUGAAGACGGGAGUAAGCAGGAGGGAAUUUUCGGGAAUGGGAGAAAGCCUGAGAGAGAAGAGAAGAGUGAGGGAAGAAGGGAUUCGGAUCGUAAAAGUUGGUCAUAGAUGACGAUAAUGACGGUACUAGAGGAGGAAGACCCGGCUAACUAAGUG
Molecule: ribosomal RNA, 471 nt
Filed under: uncultured bacterium
Lineage: Bacteria
Description: partial 16S ribosomal RNA
Rfam family: Bacterial small subunit ribosomal RNA
Source: RNAcentral